GACAGAGGGGGCAAGCGUUGCUCGGAAUUACUGGGCGUAAAGGGCGCGUAGGCGGGCUGGCAAGUCGGUCGUGAAAUCCCUCGGCUCAACCGAGGAACGUCGAUCGAUACUGCUGUUCUUGAGGAUUGCAGAGGAGACUGGAAUUCCCGGUGUAGCGGUGAAAUGUGUAGAGAUCGGGAGGAACACCGGUGGCGAAGGCGGGUCGCUGGGCAAUUCCUGACGCUGAGGCGCGAAAGCGUGGGGAGCAAACGGG
Molecule: ribosomal RNA, 253 nt
Filed under: uncultured bacterium
Lineage: Bacteria
Description: partial 16S ribosomal RNA
Rfam family: Bacterial small subunit ribosomal RNA
Source: RNAcentral